Molecule: ribosomal RNA, 430 nt
Filed under: Pseudomonadota bacterium
Lineage: Bacteria; Pseudomonadati; Pseudomonadota
Description: Proteobacteria bacterium partial 16S ribosomal RNA
Rfam family: Bacterial small subunit ribosomal RNA
Source: RNAcentral
UGGGGAAUAUUGGACAAUGGGGGGAACCCUGAUCCAGCCAUGCCGCGUGUGUGAAGAAGGCCUUAUGGUUGUAAAGCACUUUAAGCGAGGAGGAGGGUACUGGUAUUAAUACUACCAGGUACUGUACGUUACUCGCAGAAUAAGCACCGGCUAACUCUGUGCCAGCAGCCGCGGUAAUACAGAGGGUGCGAGCGUUAAUCGGAUUUACUGGGCGUAAAGCGUGCGUAGGCGGCUAAUUGAGUCGGAUGUGAAAUCCCCGAGCUUAACUUGGGAAUUGCAUUCGAUACUGGUUAGCUAGAGUGUGGGAGAGGAUGGUAGAAUUCCAGGUGUAGCGGUGAAAUGCGUAGAGAUCUGGAGGAAUACCGAUGGCGAAGGCAGCCAUCUGGCCUAACACUGACGCUGAGGUACGAAAGCAUGGGGAGCAAACAGG